This 275-nucleotide ribosomal RNA is filed under the name uncultured Cellvibrio sp. RNAcentral's name for it is "partial 16S ribosomal RNA". It matches the Rfam family "Bacterial small subunit ribosomal RNA", at positions 338 to 605 of the family's 1533-position model. Lineage: Bacteria; Pseudomonadati; Pseudomonadota; Gammaproteobacteria; Cellvibrionales; Cellvibrionaceae. The record is from RNAcentral.
CCUACGGGCGGCUGCAGUGGGGAAUAUUGGACAAUGGGCGCAAGCCUGAUCCAGCCAUGCCGCGUGUGUGAAGAAGGCCUUCGGGUUGUAAAGCACUUUCAGUGGGGAGAAAGGCCUUUUGCCUAAUACGCAAGAGGAUUGAUGUUACCCACAGAAGAAGCACCGGCUAACUCCGUGCCAGCAGCCGCGGUAAUACGGAGGGUGCAAGCGUUAAUCGGAAUUACUGGGCGUAAAGCGCACGUAGGUGGUUUGUUAAGCUAGCUGUGAAAUCCCCG